GAUUAUGGCUCAGGACGAACGCUAGCGACAGGCUUAACACAUGCAAGUCGAGGGGCAGCAUAAAAGUAGCAAUACUUGGUGGCGACCGGCGCACGGGUGAGUAACGCGUAUGCAACCUACCUAUCAGAGGGGAAUAACCCGGCGAAAGUCGGACUAAUACCGCAUAAAACAGGGACACCGCAUGGUGAUAUUUGUUAAAGAAAUUCGCUGAUAGAUGGGCAUGCGUUCCAUUAGGUAGUUGGUGAGGUAACGGCUCACCAAGCCGACGAUGGAUAGGGGAACUGAGAGGUUGGUCCCCCACACUGGUACUGAGACACGGACCAGACUCCUACGGGAGGCAGCAGUGAGGAAUAUUGGUCAAUGGGCGAGAGCCUGAACCAGCCAAGUCGCGUGAAAGGAAGAAGGAUCUAUGGUUCGUAAACUUCUUUUGCAGGGGAAUAAAGUGCAGGACGUGUCCUGUUUUGUAUGUACCCUGAGAAUAAGGAUCGGCUAACUCCGUGCCAGCCGCAGC
This 511-nucleotide ribosomal RNA is filed under the name uncultured bacterium. RNAcentral's name for it is "bacterial SSU rRNA". It matches the Rfam family "Bacterial small subunit ribosomal RNA", at positions 15 to 518 of the family's 1533-position model. The record is from RNAcentral.